UACGUAGGGUGCGAGCGUUACUCGGAAUUACUGGGCGUAAAGCGUGCGCAGGCGGUUUUGUAAGCCAGAUGUGAAAGCCCCGGGCUUAACCUGGGAAUGGCAUUUGGGACUGCAAGGCUAGAGUGUGGCAGAGGAGACUGGAAUUCCUGGUGUAGCAGUGAAAUGCGUAGAUAUCAGGAGGAACACCGGUGGCGAAGGCGGGUCUCUGGGCCGAUACUGACGCUGAGGAGCGAAAGCGUGGGGAGCGAACAGG
This 253-nucleotide ribosomal RNA is filed under the name uncultured bacterium. Its description in RNAcentral is "partial 16S ribosomal RNA". It matches the Rfam family "Bacterial small subunit ribosomal RNA", at positions 524 to 776 of the family's 1533-position model. The record is from RNAcentral.